UAUUCUUGGUGUAUCUUCAGAUCGAAUAAUUCUUUGCUUUUUGCUAAGAAUUUUUUGUGAAGUGAACCUUCCAUGAGUUUCCAUAAUUUUUUUGAGGCUCUGCCAAUGCAGGGCU
Bombina bombina (fire-bellied toad) is the source of this 115-nucleotide small nuclear RNA. RefSeq annotates it as U5 spliceosomal RNA. Lineage: Eukaryota; Metazoa; Chordata; Amphibia; Anura; Bombinatoridae. The record is from RefSeq and is a predicted model, not a curated record. The transcript has a single exon.